This 443-nucleotide ribosomal RNA is filed under the name uncultured bacterium. RNAcentral's name for it is "partial 16S ribosomal RNA". It matches the Rfam family "Bacterial small subunit ribosomal RNA", at positions 338 to 795 of the family's 1533-position model. The record is from RNAcentral.
CCUACGGGAGGCAGCAGUGGGGAAUAUUGGGCAAUGGGCGCAAGCCUGACCCAGCAACGCCGCGUGAAGGAAGAAGGCUUUCGGGUUGUAAACUUCUUUUCUCAGGGACGAAGCAAGUGACGGUACCUGAGGAAUAAGCCACGGCUAACUACGUGCCAGCAGCCGCGGUAAUACGUAGGUGGCAAGCGUUAUCCGGAUUUACUGGGUGUAAAGGGCGUGUAGGCGGGAAAGCAAGUCAGAUGUGAAAACCAUGGGCUCAACCUGUGGCCUGCAUUUGAAACUGUUUUUCUUGAGUACUGGAGAGGUAAGUGGAAUUCCUAGUGUAGCGGUGAAAUGCGUAGAUAUUAGGAGGAACACCAGUGGCGAAGGCGGCUUACUGGACUGUAACUGACGUUGAGGCUCGAAAGCGUGGGGAGCAAACAGGAUUAGAUACCCCAGUAGUC